Molecule: ribosomal RNA, 467 nt
Filed under: uncultured bacterium
Lineage: Bacteria
Description: partial 16S ribosomal RNA
Rfam family: Bacterial small subunit ribosomal RNA
Source: RNAcentral
GACGAACGCUGGCGGCGUGCUUAACACAUGCAAGUCGAACGGAAAGGCCCUGCUUUUGUGGGGUGCUCGAGUGGCGAACGGGUGAGUAACACGUGAGUAACCUGCCCUUGACUUUGGGAUAACUUCAGGAAACUGGGGCUAAUACCGGAUAGGAGCUCCUGCUGCAUGGUGGGGGUUGGAAAGUUUCGGCGGUUGGGGAUGGACUCGCGGCUUAUCAGCUUGUUGGUGGGGUAGUGGCUUACCAAGGCUUUGACGGGUAGCCGGCCUGAGAGGGUGACCGGCCAAAUUGGGACUGAGAUACGGCCCAGACUCCUACGGGAGGCAGCAGUGGGGAAUAUUGCACAAUGGGCGGAAGCCUGAUGCAGAAACGCCGCGUGCGGGAUGACGGCCUUCGGGUUGUAAACCGCUUUCGCCUGUGACGAAGCGUGAGUGACGGUAAUGGGUAAAGAAGCACCGGCUAACUACGU